UAACCUGUAUGACUUUCUUACUUAAAGUGAAGACCAUGACAUUUUACAGUCCCAGUCACUCACUUCGUAUUGAGAAGAGACGCAAGUGAUGAAAGUAAAUUAUUCUACACUGGCCCCAGUGCACAAUUCAUGAGGCUGGUUGUGCUGUCUGAUGAGCAGAGGCGGGCUGUCCUGGAGGAGUGCCACAACAACCCUGGCACAGGGAACCAUGGGGGCGUGAGGGCGACCAUGGACAGGGUUGUUGUGGGGUACUACUGGGAUAACAUAAAGGCAGAUGUGGCAGAGACUGGGUACUUUUUUGGAACUUUCAUGGAAUUUAACACUAUGGCUCUCAGGCAAUGAAUUGAUUUAAUGGCUUUGUUUGACUUCAGAUAAUUAUUUGGUCUAAAUAAUAAAUGUAUCCAUCAGGUCAAAAGCUGUCACAGAUGCCAAAAGAACGACCCCAUAAAGACUGUGUCUCCUGUCCUUCACCCUAUUAAGAAUUUCAGAAAUUGGAACCUGCUCACACUGCCAAAAGUACCAAUACCUGGUUUAAUGACCAAGGAGUCACUGUGCUUGAUUGCCCUGCAAACUCGUCUGACCUGAAUCCCAAAGGGAAUCUAUUGGGCAUUGCCAACAGGAAGAUCGGAGGUAUGAGAUACAACAAUGCAGGAGGAACAGGUAGAAGUGGAGGAGCUGCCCCUCACAUUGAAACAUAUGUACCAGGCAGAAUACAUCGUGAGGAACAGUGUUGGGCUUUUCACUGGCCAGGUGCAAGAACCCUCAUACAUGUUGAUGGAUCAUGAUGACCAAAGGAAC
Molecule: long non-coding RNA, 798 nt
Organism: Cyprinus carpio (common carp)
Lineage: Eukaryota; Metazoa; Chordata; Actinopteri; Cypriniformes; Cyprinidae
Exons: 4
Source: RefSeq, a predicted model, not a curated record